This 232-nucleotide long non-coding RNA is filed under the name Carica papaya (papaya). RNAcentral's name for it is "long non-coding RNA (CPAP_LNC010238)". The record is from RNAcentral. Lineage: Eukaryota; Viridiplantae; Streptophyta; Magnoliopsida; Brassicales; Caricaceae.
CCAGAUGAUGUUGAGUAGGGGGCUGCCUCAGAUUACAGAAGAAACCUAGCUUAGAAGAUCAACUAGAACACAUCAUCAUUCUACCAGAUAUUCCAGUUCUAAUUAUGUUGUAGUUACUGAAGGGAGGGAGCAAGAAAGCUUCCAAGUAGUUUAUAAUCAUAAAGAGAAAGCUCAAUGGUUGAAAGCAAUGUAGGAGGAAACAAGUUUUUUGAACAACAAUAAUGCUUAUGAG